RNAcentral lists this long non-coding RNA (8931 nucleotides) under Sus scrofa (pig). RNAcentral describes it as "lncRNA (ENSSSCG00050019404.1)". The stretch from base 1 to 73 matches the Rfam family "Small nucleolar RNA SNORD107". Lineage: Eukaryota; Metazoa; Chordata; Mammalia; Artiodactyla; Suidae. The record is from RNAcentral.
GUUUAUGAUGACACAGGACCUUGUCUGAACAUGGUGAUUUCACAUUUUGAGCUUAAAAGGAUACCCUGAAAUCCAGUCAAUGUGCCUCACUAGACUUUUCAGAGAAUAUUAUUCUUGACAGAAAAUGUUGGCUUGAUAUGUGAAAACUUAGUUAGAAAUGGCAGGUGUAGUAGUACACUUUGCCAGUUCUUCAAAUACCUAUUUUUUUCCCUUUUCAUAGGUUUGUGUGAGCUAAUUCUUUUUUUUCUCUUUUUCUCUUACACUAUAUAUACACACACGUGUGUGUAUAUAUGUGUGUGUGUGUGUGUGUUUGUGUGUGUAUGUACCCACAAACACUGUUCAAAACAAAAAUGGAGGCUCGUCCUUGGAUCUCAGAAGGCCGCAAGUGGUGACAUGGAAACAAAGACAUGUAAAAAGCAGAUCACCACCUCUUACAGCAAACAUUGAGUGACAAAGUUCUAAAUAUCUAAGUGAUGUCCAAAAGAAUAUUUAUGGAACAUUUUAAGAAGACGGUGAGUGUGAGAUUUGAAACGUGAUGCCAACUAGAAGGUGAGGAAUUGGCUAUCUAUCAUUCAUGGACAUGAAUGGAGCCUAAGAAAGAUGGACAAGGAUUUCAUCCAGAAACUUUAAGAUUCUUUUUUUGUGCAUGAUAGGUACUGAUCAGACUCCAUUAAAUAGCUGUUUUGGAGAUACCUUUCAUAUUGGAACUUCUGACUGGCUCCUCAUUUUCUAGCUUCAGAUUCUCUAAUUCAUCUGUCUGCCAGUGGGAAAGAAGAUGAACCACAUCACACUCUUCAUAAAUCUGCAGUUGACAUAUUUAAAAAGUUAAUUAGAAAUAAGCAAUAAUCAGGGAAGAGGACAAAGAUUAUAUAAGUUGAUAUUGAGAGCAUCUUUUGUCACUGUCGAAACUGAAAAAUUUUCAUGUUUAUUUACUGAACAUUUGGAUUCAUAAAUUUCAGACAUUUCUUUAAACCUUUGGUCCAUAGGAACCUCAAGAAAUUUACACAGCAAGAUACAAGAUGAUUGCAACCCAGAAUGAUUUAGGGUAGUUUUGCAAACCUUUUUUCUGUUAACAUAGUUAAGGAGAUUUUUCUGGAGUAUCCUGAGAAGUUUUGCUUGUGGACUGCUAGAGAAGUUUGCACCUCAUGCCAAUUUAAGGGGUCCUUGGCCAGGCCUAUCCUGUAAAGACAUUCUUUAGAUCUUUUUGUCCUGAAUUCAUUUGCCUGAUCUAACAGCAGCAGGAGAACAUCUCUCACACCAGUUUUCUCCCCAAGAUGGCAGUGUGUGAAGGGUAUCUACUGAAUUGAAAAUUAUUUGGGCUGGGUAAAACUUGAAGUGCUGGGCUAUUCUGGACAAUCUCAAGUAAACAUAAGCCAACCUUGUAGAUAUAUGUGGACAGGAAGCUAAGGAUAAUACAUUUUAAAUUCAGCUAGAAGCUUUCAUUAGCUACAAAAUUAUAGACAAAAUAAAAAUUUAUAUUCGCCUAAAGCAGCUUCUUGAUUCAGAUAUUUACAUUUCCUUAGUUAUCUUUGGAUUUGGGGUGGAGUAAGAAUGUUUUCCUUGCUGUGUGUGGAAUAUCAAGCUAACUUCAAAAGAUUUACUGGUAAAAGCCCUAUAUAAAUAUAAAUGGUAGUUGUAUGCAUAUGUGAUAAACAAAUCUUAUUCCCUACCCUCUUGGCAUUUUAAAACAAUUUGGAAUCAAAUCCUGUUAAGUAAUUUACUGGACAUAUAUAUCUUAUGAAUUUAUUUAAAUAUUUAGGAAAUUGUGUUUGGGUAAUGGUAUCGAAAUUAAAAUAUAAAAUGCUCAGUGAAUGAUUAAUACAUGUGAACUGUUCAUUGGACAUUAUAGAGAGAAUGAAAUUCAAUAUGUAAUAGUUUAUAUUAUUGUAUUUUAUUCUUUACUCAGUCUUUUUUUAUAAAAAAAUAUUAUUUUUAGAUACUUUUGAAAAUGAAAAUUGUGAUAGUAGAACUUAUUUCCUAAAGAAGUUUUACAAACCUUUUACAUGUUUGGUAAAAUUCUCUUCUGGAAACACUUUUAGAAGGGGAUUCCGAGAACAUUUUGUAAGCUAUGAAGAAUUCUAUAUUGUUUAUGGAUAGCAGAAAAGAGAUAGACAUGGGAACAUUUAAUACAUCAAUCAGAAAAGCAAAGGAAGGUACUAGUUAUUGUUUAUAUGAAAUAACCAAAUAUAUUUGCUUUGUGACAUUUGUUAAUGUAUUGCAAAUGCUAACAAGGAGUUUGGUAAAACAUAUAGAAUAAUUAUUUUUAUUACAUGAUUAUAGAAGUGCUAUUGUUAGAAUGUACAUCUGAGUAAUGUACAUUUGAAAUCAUUUGAUUGGAUUAUUGCUUUUGGUUUUUGGUGGAGGGGAAUGUCCUGUAUGUAACUGUCACAUAAAUUUUAUUAAGUCUGCUCUAACUGAAUAUAGAUAUUAUCCUGUAAAUGGUCAUUAUGUUAAAAUUUGUAUGGGGCGAUAUUACCUUAUUGUGGAACUUUUGCGCAAUGAACACUUGCCUGUUAAGGCUUUAGUGGUCCGUUAUAUUGGUUUGUAUAUGUAAUAGAAAAGGUACUCUGUUACAAUCCCAUCAGUAAUAGAGAGGACUGACAUUUGAGGCAUUUCAGUUAUUAUAAUGUAGUGUUGAUUACUGAGACAAAUGUCUAGACGACUACAGAUUAGGCAAAUAAAAGCUAGAUAGAGAAUAGAAAAUUUCGAUGUUUGUAUAUAUGCAUACGCACAGAGACAUUUAAAAGGGCACUAAGGCUUUAUUCUCAGAUAUUGGGAAUCUAUGACUAUUCUAUAAAUAAUCUAAUGUUUGGUUGGUAGUUUUUUUUUUUGCCAGUGGAAUUGUUAAAUUAUCUCUCCAUAUUAUCUCAUUUUCUGGUAGAAAUUGUUAAAACUUUUUGUUACAAUGUUAAUUUUUUCUUUAACCUCUAUAGUUUUCUACAUGUAUAAACAUUAUAAAUACAUAUCACUCUAAUAGUAUAGAAAUAUUUCUAUUUGGCAAAAGAGAUGUUCCAUCUAGCCUCUCAUUGUAAUCAUUGGGUACAUCAUUAGGCUGAAUUUAUAGGUUAUGAGAAUUUCAUUGUGUAGUGCCUGGUAUAAAUAUAUCAUUGCUUUAUGACAGGAUUCCUUAUGAUGAAAACAUCACUGGACUGCUUAUUUGUGGUUUUUGGAUAUGUGUGUAUACAAAUAGAAUAUAACACUUUGAGUAACAUAAAAAUCUCUGCAUUUGAUAAAAUAGCAUAGCUUAGAAAAAUUUUCAGGGGUCAGUGGAAUUUGACUUUUGAUGAAAAUAGUGAAUUGCUUUAAAACACUUUUUUUCUAGUUGUAGGGAAAUUUACAAAUUUAUAGAGAAUUUACAAGUUUUAUGGGUGAUGUUAGCCAUGAUCCAGCAGACCUGAGUACACUAAAUAGUGGCUUGAUCAAGAGAAUGUUUUUGCGUUAUGUGUAUUCAAUAGACACCACUGCUAUGCUUUUUAAGCAUAGAAAUGAUUAUUUCUGUGUGUUUUAGCUAUACAUAGAAGUAAACAGUUCCUUAAUGAUUGUCAGAUUAUUUCUGAGUAGAUAAUUUGGCAGCUGAAGUGUGCUCUUUUAGAUGGUCGUGAAUAAAAUAGAAUAUAUGAUGGUUUUUGCUUUACACUUAUCAGGAUUUCUUACAUAUAAAUAUGUAUACAUGGACAUUUGUGUGGAAUAGAUGUGUUCAUUAAAAGGCAUAGUAUAGAAUUUUUUUUGACCCAAUUAUCUUAGCUUUAGUCUAUGUUCUUUGGGUUGUUUGGUCAGAAGUUUUUUCCAGUCUAUUAGAGGAUAUUGUGAGGCUGCUAGAUAUGUGGUAGACAAAUUUAGUGUUUUUUUCUUAUGAUACCUACAAAGGACCUGCUGAUUGAGGUAUAUAUAUUGUGAGUACCAAACUGAUAGACGAAAGUGAAAACAGUAUUUUGGUAAAUUGGAUUGCUAAACUAUGUCUAUUUGAGAUGUUUGGUUGCUUGCUGAGGAUUAUGUUAGUAAUUUGUUUUCUAUAUAGAGACAUACAUUUGAUAAAACAUUUUUGGUUAUAUAAUUUCUGUCAGUAAUUUUAGAAAUAUCUUUUAAAAUGUUAAAGUUAACAGUCAUUGAUUUUAGAGUAAGCAUAUUUAUAAAUUAGGCUUCAUACUGACUUUAACCUAGGUAUUUCGAAACUCUGUCUUCACAUACACACAAACAAACAGAAUUAAUAUUUUAAUGUAGAAAUAAUACCGAAAAAUAUUUUUAUUGUUGUGGCCACAUUGGUGGGAGAAAAAUAUCAAUAGAAGUGUUACAUGACAUCUAUGUGUUUACACAUUGUCAGGGUUGUAAUUCUGUGCAUGUGAUCAAAUUUUUGUUUUUAUACCACAUUAUUCUAUAGCUGUCCAUAAAUUUCUAUCAUAGUUUUGAAUAUUUGCCUAAAACUAAUAGCACAUAAUCAUUUUUUUUUUGUUUGUAGAAAUGUAAUGGUACACUAAGCCUCACAGUUGUAGAAUGUGACUUUUAGACUGAUGUUAUACAUAGUUAUGUUAAAAACACAUUUUUUUCUAGAUAUAGACAUUUCUGAUACUCAUAUACUUUUUAUUUAUGGAACAUGUAGAUAUAACUUAAUUUCCAAGAUGUGUUGUGGCUCAUGAUGCAAUUCAUUUUUCUGCAGAACAUUUUAUAGAAAUGUUUCUGAGUUUGUUACCUGGCAAUAACCAAGAAAAUUUUGUAAAUAAGCAGCAAGAGAAAUAUUUUGUUUUAAACAACUAGUAUUUCUAAAUGGAUUGAGAGUCUCAAAAGGUAUAAUUUUGUAAAUACUGCAUUGUAAGUAUGUUAAUCUUUUAAAAUUAAUGACAUGAAAUUGACAAACAGGGCCUGGAGUUUUGCAAAAUUUGUCAUGUGUUUGUUUGGUGGUUACGAGGAAACAUUGACAAGAUUAUGCAUUUACCCUGUUCUCAUAUAGGAAAAUAAUUUGCCAUUUUAUCAAGUAUGUGUAUUUAAAAACUACACCAUGUAAAACUAUACCAUUUAAAAACCUAUGCCAUUUAAAUUUAUUUGGUGUUUUUGGAGGUACCAAUAUUCCUGAUGUAUUUUAUGUUAUGAUCUUUUAUUAAGCCUUUUUUUUUUUCUAGGAGCAAUUUUAUGUUCACGGCAAAAUUUAGGGGAACACACAGGGGUUUUCCAUUUACUCCCUGUCCCAACGCAUAUAUAAAUCCUCCUCUGUUAUCAACCCAACACAUGCAUAAUUCACCCGCAUUAUCAAAUGCCCCAUCAAAAUAGUACAUUUGCUACAUUGAUGAACCUAAGUUGACACAUCAUGUCACAAAUCACCCAAAGUCCAUCCUUUACAUUAUGAUUAACUUAGUAUUGUACAUUCUGUGGCUUAGACAGAUGUAUAAUGAACAUAUAUUCAUCAUUAUCACACCAUACAUGGUGUUUUAAUGGACCUCAAAAUUCUCUGUCCUCCAGUUACUAAUUCCUCCCCUUAUACUAUUUCCUUUUUCCGUCUCUUCCUUCCUGCCAACAUUCAAGUUAAUAAGUGACUUGGUUAAAAAGAUUUUAUACUACCUCUUGGAACUAUACACAGUUCUGUAUGUGUUCCCUUUGUUGCAUGACAAUAUUCAAGACAACUUUGUAAAUAGGCAGAUAUGAGUUUUUAAUUUUUAACAUCUGGUCUUUCUAGAUGUAUAGUCUCACAAAGUACAAUGUUGUAAAUAAUUAAUUGUAAAGUUUCAUGGUUUAUUUCUUCACCUACCAGUGAAAUUGAUACACUUGUGGAUUUCAUGAGUUACACAUAUUUUGGAAUCUGUUUCUUGAUUUGUUACAGCAAAGCAGAGGUUAAAAGGGCAGUUUUUCAUUUUUGCCUUCUCAGCUGAAAGAAAAUUUUACAUUUUAAUUACUCAGUGCUUAGAUUUUAUUUUAUUUGUAGUUGUAUUGCUGAUAGGAAAUUAUAUUUCAAUCAUAAGAAAUGUGUAUUUAAAAAUUUUAUUCACUCUGAAUUAAUAUAGUUUGGUAUUUAUUCGGACUGCAUAACACCAUUCAAGACAAUUUUGUAAAUAAUAGGAAAUAUGUCAUUAAAAAGGCUACUUUUUCUAUAUGCAUGGAAUUUCAUGAGUAUAAAUUUGUAAAUAUCUAAUUGUAAAAUAUCAUAAAUUGGCUUCUAUAAAUGUUUUAACAACUUAGGUAAUUAAUAAUUGGGCUUUUAAGUCUUUGUAACAUUUUUGUGUUUAUGCCACGGGCUUUCUAAGGAUAUCAUUAUGUUCUCAUGCAUAAAAAAUGUUGAGAUUAUACACUUUUAACAAACAAAAUGUCCUUGGGAUUUAAUUUCUCUUUAAGAAGUAAAAGAGACAGGAGAAGGUAAUUGUCCUUUUAAACUAUAGAUUUAUUUAUAGUUAUAUAACUCUGCUAAAAUAACUGCUAUUUUGAUAUGCCAUAUAAAGCUACUGUUUGAAAAGCUAGUAUAGAAGCCUUCCUUGUGUAAUAUAUAAAGGAAUAUUAAUUUUUAUAUAAAACAGUUAAGCUGUAACAUUUCUGUUAUGUUUAUUUAAAUACAUCUAUCCAAAAACAAAAUUUUUGUUGGGAAUAUAUCUGCUAUUAAUUGAAGUGUAAAUAAAUAUAUCAUUUUGAAUAGCAGUUUGGCAAUCAAUCAAAAUUUGUGUAAAACUUUUGAAUUGUUGGAAUUUGCUGAUUACAUUUUAUCUAUUCCUACUCAAGUAAUAUAAAGAAGAAAGUAUGUUAUAGGUUGAGUGUAAGACUAAUGAUAGCUUAUUCAUAUGGAUAUCAUUGAAAAACACUGAAAUAUUCUGAUAUUGAAGGAUGUUUUAAGUUGAUUUUUAAAAUUGUCAGUUUUGAAGAAAGGUCAACUAAAUAUGUAUAAGAGGUCUGUCCAUGUGCCUCUGGUUUCCUGAUUUAAAUAUUCAUUGUUAUUACUGGAAAAUGGGGCUGUCUAGAUACAAUAAUGUGAAGAAAUGCUUACUUAUUUGUGUUACUAUAAUGGCAUUCUUCUUGAAAUUUUUGUACAUGUUUAAACACUAAAACAAUGUUUAUAACUUUGUAUAUUGCUAUGUGACAAUCUAAAAUGCAUAUAGGGGUUAUUGUAGAGAAACUUGCCUGAAAAAACAUGGCAAAAUUUUAACAUUACUGUAUAAAGAGAUGAGAAAUUAAGGGUCUGCUGCUACUUUCCCACAUUUGUAAUUUUAAAGGUGUUUCAAAAGCAACGUUUAAACAACGAAGGGAAUUCUAGAGAUAUAAUUGAUUUGUGCCUGUCCUGAUUGUUGCCUAUUGACAUCUUGGGAAUGUUGGGCUGUUGUAUCCAACUUUGUAUCCUCAGUGGCUGUAAUGAAUAGUUUUGAGUGAUCAUGAAGAACCUGUGACAUAGACUAGUGCAGCAGAGUUACCCAGCGAAAUAAAGACUGUUGGGUUACCGAAGGAAAGAAGAAGAAAGAAGACAGGAUUUGAGGUGAACAUGGUAAAAAAUGACACACUUGCAUAUAACCUGAGGAUAGCUGGCAUCAGGAACAUCCUUAUGCAACUAUGCCUAUGGAGUUCUUAUUCUUAUGCAAACAUGCCUAUGGAGUUCUUUCAUUUAUAAAUUUCAAAUUUAAACCACAGGUGAUGACAGUUACAAGAAAACAUACUUUUGCCACUUUUGUUUUUAAAUCUCAGUAAUUGGUACCACCAGACCUGUUGCAGUAUUCUCAUUCCAAGUGUUCUUCACUCCCAUCUUUGGACCCUGGAGAAGCCCUUGGCCAUCAUAAUCUGUGUCCUUUAGGUGAUGAUUGAUUAGGAUACUGAUCACUUCUGCAACCAUCUUCACUAAAAACCAAAAGACAGUCUUCAUAAUGUAUGUAGACUCGGCAUUGAUGUGUUACAAUAGACACUCCCUGUAGAUCAGAAAAACUGGACUUAGAAGGCUCAAGUUCGAAAGUGACGUGAAGGAUGUUAUUGGAGAGAAUUGUAACCAGGCAUGUUGAGAGAUUUCAAUUGUUGCCAUUGGACUAAAUCUCAGGAGCUUUACUGAUGGAGGCAUCAUUACAUGGAGAAGAUCAGCAUGGAGUGAUUGCAAGGCUUCGUUUCAGUGCUCUCAUAAACAUUAGGUUCUUGUAUUUAAAAUUUUAACUUAUCACAGGGAAAUUUAAAAUUGAUUCAUAAAAAAUCGUCUUUUUCAAGAUCUCAAAGGACAUGGAAAUUUGUGAAGUAUGUUUUUACUUUGCCUUUUCCUAAUUCUAUACAUCCUUUCUAGUGUAUUGAUAAAUUAAUAUGCAAGUCAUUUGGGGGUCUCUAUAUUGGCUAUAGAUUUUUCUUUGCCGUAAGUAUGACUUACUGAUAAAUUGUAAUUUGCCUGAAUAAUUUGUUGAAAUAGUUCCAGUGAAGUAGAACUGCUACUUCUGAAGAUAUCCAAAAUUUAUAUUUUGAGUUCAAUCUACAGAUUUCUCCCAACUGUAUAGAUGGGUCCUCAUCAGUCUUGUUCCCCAGGGUCUAUAUCCCAAAAUUAUACAAGUAUUAGCUGUUUAAUCUUUGGUAAUGUGAGAUUAUACAGAAAUUGCUUUUCUCUGUUGUUUAGCUUGGUCAUCUUCAUGUUAUGCUUAAUCUUUACUGGUCACUUGUGUUAUUUCAUUUUCCUUUUUUUUUCAUUUCCCUUGGAAUAUUAAUGUCUGUGUUACUGAUUUCUAAGAAAUCAUUUAUAAUUAAGGAUGUGAACCAUUUGUCAUGCAUCGGGAAUGAAAUACUGUGUAUUUAUGCCACUAGUUUACUAUGGUGUUCUGUAUUUUGGUUGUGUAUUAAAAUAUAAUUGUGUUAUGUUUUAUGCCCUUUGAGUUUUGUGUUUUUCUUUAAAAAUAUGUUUGAUUUAGUAUCAUUUCUUGGUCUGUAUUCAUUUUUCAUCAAAUAUUUCAUCAUUUCUCUUUCCAUUAUGAUUAUUGUGCUUUUAAAUCAUUACAUAUUCAAGUU